This 254-nucleotide ribosomal RNA is filed under the name uncultured archaeon. RNAcentral's name for it is "partial 16S ribosomal RNA". It matches the Rfam family "Archaeal small subunit ribosomal RNA", at positions 474 to 727 of the family's 1478-position model. The record is from RNAcentral.
UACCGGCGGCUCGAGUGGUGGCCACUUUUAUUGGGCUUAAAGCGUUCGUAGCUGGGUUGUUAAGUCUCUUGGGAAAUCUGACGGCUCAACCGUCAGGCGUCCAAGGGAUACUGGCAAUCUUGGAACCGGGAGAGGUGAGGGGUACUUCGGGGGUAGGAGUGAAAUCCUGUAAUCCUCGAGGGACCACCUGUGGCGAAGGCGCCUCACCAGAACGGCUUCGACAGUGAGGGACGAAAGCUGGGGGAGCAAACCGG